AACGAACGCUGGCGGCAUGCCUAACACAUGCAAGUCGAACGAGACCUUCGGGUCUAGUGGCGCACGGGUGCGUAACGCGUGGGAACCUGCCCUUAGGUUCGGAAUAACUCCCCGAAAGGGGUGCUAAUACCGGAUAAUGUCUUCGGACCAAAGAUUUAUCGCCUUUGGAUGGGCCCGCGUUGGAUUAGCUAGUUGGUAGGGUAAAAGCCUACCAAGGCGACGAUCCAUAGCUGGUCUGAGAGGAUGAUCAGCCACACUGGGACUGAGACACGGCCCAGACUCCUACGGGAGGCAGCAGUGGGGGAUAUUGGACAAUGGGCGAAAGCCUGAUCCAGCAAUGCCGCGUGAGUGAUGAAGGCCUUAGGGUUGUAAAGCUCUUUUACCCGGGAUGAUAAUGACAGUACCGGGAGAAUAAGCUCCGGCUAACUCCGCG
RNAcentral lists this ribosomal RNA (433 nucleotides) under uncultured bacterium. Its description in RNAcentral is "partial 16S ribosomal RNA". It matches the Rfam family "Bacterial small subunit ribosomal RNA", at positions 29 to 507 of the family's 1533-position model. The record is from RNAcentral.